Long non-coding RNA from Oncorhynchus keta (chum salmon), 607 nucleotides. RefSeq lists it as uncharacterized. Lineage: Eukaryota; Metazoa; Chordata; Actinopteri; Salmoniformes; Salmonidae. The record is from RefSeq and is a predicted model, not a curated record. The transcript is spliced from 3 exons.
GGUAACAUGACCCUCUACAGCCCUCCACCCACCAGGUAACAUGACCCUCUACAGCCCUCCACCCACCAGGUAAUAUGGUCCUCUAUAGCCCUCCACCCACCAGGUAAUAUGACCCUCUAUAGCCCUCCACCCACCAGCCCUCCACCCACCAGGUAAUAUGACCCUCUAUAGCCCUCCACCCACCAGGUAAUAUGACCCUCUAUAGCCCUCCACCCACCAGGUAAUAUGACCCUCUAUAGCCCUCCACCCACCAGGUAAUAUGACCCUCUAUAGCCCUCCACCCACCAGGUAAUAUGACCCUCUAUAGCCCUCCACCCACCAGGUAAUAUGACCCUCUACAGCCCUCCACCCACUAAUCUGCAGGUCUGUGAUGUGAAAUAAUUUCAAAUACUUUAGCUGGGCUUGAUUGAGUUUGCGUCGCAUUUCACGAUGGAACCAAUAGAAUAUGUUGACACCACAGGCAGAUUAAAGCAAACGCUCAAAAUAUGUGACCGUUUGUACCCGGUCUGGUGACGAGCUCCCUGGGGUGUUGAGAAACGGAGCAGAAUACAUGUUUCUAUUGUUUGCUGUAGCAAAUAGACUAAUACAGUUGUAUUGUUGUUGUUGU